This 74-nucleotide unclassified non-coding RNA is filed under the name Bradyrhizobium erythrophlei. The record is from RNAcentral. Lineage: Bacteria; Pseudomonadati; Pseudomonadota; Alphaproteobacteria; Hyphomicrobiales; Nitrobacteraceae.
ACAAGCCGUAUGCCCGAAUUGGGCUCGUACGGAUCUGUGCGGGGGCGCGGGGUAACUCGCGUCCCUACCGCGAA